Molecule: ribosomal RNA, 771 nt
Filed under: uncultured Neocallimastigales
Lineage: Eukaryota; Fungi; Neocallimastigomycota; Neocallimastigomycetes; Neocallimastigales
Description: partial large subunit ribosomal RNA
Rfam family: Eukaryotic large subunit ribosomal RNA
Source: RNAcentral
GUACACGCUGUGACUAGCAUAUCAAUAAGCGGAGGAAAAGAAACUAACAAGGAUUCCCCUAGUAACGGCGAGUGAAGCGGGAAGAGCUCAAAUUUGAAAUCUUCAAGGUUUUACCUUGACGAAUUGUAGUUUAAAGAAGUAUUUUCUGCUGAAGUUUUGGUAAAAGUUCUUUGGAAUAGGACAUCAUAGAGGGUGAGAAUCCCGUAUUUGACCAUUAUUUUCAGCUUUGUGAUACACUUUCAAAGAGUCGGAUUGUUUGGGAAUGCAGUCCAAAAUGGGUGGUGAAUUUCAUCUAAGGCUAAAUAUUGGCGAGAGACCGAUAGCGAACAAGUACCGUGAGGGAAAGAUGAAAAGAACUUUGAAAAGAGAGUUAAAUAGUACGUGAAAUUGUCAAAAGGGAAGCGUUUAACACCAGUGUUGUUUUCUGAAAAUCAACCUCUGUUAGCUUUAUGCAUGUUUGUUUAGACCUAAUCAGCUAUCUUGCAUGUUCUAUUGUUUGCAGUGGUGCACUUUUCAGUUUACAGGUCAACAUCAGUUUUUUUUACCGUAAAAAAGUUAAAGAAAGGUAGCUCAUGGCUCCGGUCGUGAGUGUUAUAGUCUUUUUCCUAUGCGGUAGGAGAGACUGAGGUCUGCAGUGUAGGCUAUUUGGCUAGGAUACUCAGGUGCUAUGUGAUACCAUUUCAUAAACAACUUGUUGAUUAUGUUUUGUCUAUUGCAUACUCGCUUGUACUAUCAUACCUACGCUUAGGAUGUUGAGUAGCGACAUACGCA